RNAcentral lists this ribosomal RNA (648 nucleotides) under uncultured Actinomycetes bacterium. RNAcentral describes it as "bacterial SSU rRNA". It matches the Rfam family "Bacterial small subunit ribosomal RNA", at positions 229 to 888 of the family's 1533-position model. The record is from RNAcentral. Lineage: Bacteria; Bacillati; Actinomycetota; Actinomycetes.
AUUCGCGGCCUAUCAGCUUGUUGGUGGGGUAAUGGCCUACCAAGGCGACGACGGGUAGCCGGCCUGAGAGGGUGACCGGCCACACUGGGACUGAGACACGGCCCAGACUCCUACGGGAGGCAGCAGUGGGGAAUAUUGCACAAUGGGCGAAAGCCUGAUGCAGCGACGCCGCGUGAGGGAUGACGGCCUUCGGGUUGUAAACCUCUUUCAGCAGGGACGAAGCGCAAGUGACGGUACCUGCAGAAGAAGCACCGGCUAACUACGUGCCAGCAGCCGCGGUAAUACGUAGGGUGCGAGCGUUGUCCGGAAUUAUUGGGCGUAAAGAGCUCGUAGGCGGUUUGUCGCGUCGGCCGUGAAAACUUGGGGCUUAACUCCAAGCUUGCGGUCGAUACGGGCAGACUUGAGUUCGGCAGGGGAGACUGGAAUUCCUGGUGUAGCGGUGAAAUGCGCAGAUAUCAGGAGGAACACCGGUGGCGAAGGCGGGUCUCUGGGCCGAUACUGACGCUGAGGAGCGAAAGCGUGGGGAGCGAACAGGAUUAGAUACCCUGGUAGUCCACGCCGUAAACGGUGGGUGCUAGGUGUGGGGGGCUUCCACGCCCUCUGUGCCGCAGCUAACGCAUUAAGCACCCCGCCUGGGGAGUACGGAAU